CCAUUAAUGGCCAAACCUUGCGCUCCUCCACCUUCCGUUUGAGGAUGUCCCACAGAUGUUCAAUAGGGUUUAGGUUUUGAGACAUGCUUGGUCAGUCCAGCACCUUAACCCUCAGUUUCUUAAGCAAGGCAGUGGCCAUCUUGGAGGUGUG
Molecule: long non-coding RNA, 151 nt
Organism: Bufo bufo (common toad)
Lineage: Eukaryota; Metazoa; Chordata; Amphibia; Anura; Bufonidae
Exons: 3
Source: RefSeq, a predicted model, not a curated record